GGGGAUGUAGCUCAGUGGUACAAUAUCUGCUUUGCAUGUAGAAGUUCCCAGGUUCAACCCCUGGCAACACCA
RNAcentral lists this transfer RNA (72 nucleotides) under Sphaerodactylus townsendi. RNAcentral describes it as "tRNA-Ala". It matches the Rfam family "tRNA". Rfam says of the family: Transfer RNA (tRNA) molecules are approximately 80 nucleotides in length. Their secondary structure includes four short double-helical elements and three loops (D, anti-codon, and T loops). The record is from RNAcentral. Lineage: Eukaryota; Metazoa; Chordata; Lepidosauria; Squamata; Sphaerodactylidae.